UACAUGCAAGUCGAGCGAACGGACGAGAAGCUUGCUUUUCCGAUGUUAGCGGCGGACGGGUGAGUAACACGUGGAUAACCUACCUAUAAGACUGGGAUAACUUCGGGAAACCGGAGCUAAUACCGGAUGAUAUUUUGAACCGCAUGGUUCAAAAGUGAAAGACGGUCUUGCUGUCACUUAUAGAUGGAUCCGCGCUGCAUUAGCUAGUUGGUAAGGUAACGGCUUACCAAGGCAACGAUGCAUAGCCGACCUGAGAGGGUGAUCAGCCACACUGGAACUGAGACACGGUCCAGACUCCUACGGGAGGCAGCAGUAGGGAAUCUUCCGCAAUGGGCGAAAGCCUGACGGAGCAACGCCGCGUGAGUGAUGAAGGUCUUCGGAUCGUAAAACUCUGUUAUUAGGGAAGAACAUAUGUGUAAGUAACUGUGCACAUCUUGACGGUACCUAAUCAGAAAGCCACGGCUAACUACGUGCCAGCAGCCGCGGUAAUACGUAGGUGGCAAGCGUUAUCCGGAAUUAUUGGGCGUAAAGCGCGCGUAGGCGGUUCUUUAAGUCUGAUGUGAAAGCCCACGGCUCAACCGUGGAGGGUCAUUGGAAACUGGAAAACUUGAGUGCAGAAGAGGAAAGUGGAAUUCCAUGUGUAGCGGUGAAAUGCGCAGAGAUAUGGAGGAACACCAGUGGCGAAGGCGACUUUCUGGUCUG
RNAcentral lists this ribosomal RNA (702 nucleotides) under uncultured Staphylococcus sp. Its description in RNAcentral is "bacterial SSU rRNA". It matches the Rfam family "Bacterial small subunit ribosomal RNA", at positions 52 to 736 of the family's 1533-position model. Lineage: Bacteria; Bacillati; Bacillota; Bacilli; Caryophanales; Staphylococcaceae. The record is from RNAcentral.